UCGGUUUCGUCGCCGCUAAGGGGUGGUGGU
RNAcentral lists this non-coding RNA (30 nucleotides) under Homo sapiens (human). The record is from RNAcentral. Lineage: Eukaryota; Metazoa; Chordata; Mammalia; Primates; Hominidae.